Molecule: long non-coding RNA, 413 nt
Organism: Passer domesticus (house sparrow)
Lineage: Eukaryota; Metazoa; Chordata; Aves; Passeriformes; Passeridae
Exons: 3
Source: RefSeq, a predicted model, not a curated record
AGCAAAUGCAGUUACAGGGCCUGUCUGAUGGAUACCCUUGUGCUGACAGACACGGGUGUUCUUGUGCAGGACAAUGCGUGGGGGAAAGGCAGGAGAAGACAUCUGGCCAAGUCACAGGACAUCUGGAAUGACAGCACAAUCUUCCCAAAGCCAAGCCUCAUUGCUGCCAUAUUUCACCUCUCUUUUGAAUGUUACUGUUGUCUCAUCAUCACCCUCUGCAAGCUGGUGAAAUUCCCUCCUUGUCCCUACCACAGCUGUUGCCAUUGUAUUCUUGUCCACCUCAGUGAGAUGUCCCAGAAGAAAAGAAUGAAAUAGUAAUUACUUACAACUGUGGAGAAAAGAAGAAAGGAAGAAACAGGAACUCUGCUCUGUUGGGGAAAACAAAGUUACUUGGUGUAGCUGAAGAUCUGAAG